GCGUGCGAUACAGGGUGACAGCCCCGUACACAAAAAUGCACAUAUUGUGAGCUCGAUGAGUAGGGCGGGACACGUGGUAUCCUGUCUGAAUAUGGGGGGACCAUCCUCCAAGGCUAAAUACUCCUGACUGACCGAUAGUGAACCAGUACCGUGAGGGAAAGGCGAAAAGAACCCCGGCGAGGGGAGUGAAAAAGAACCUGAAACCGUGUACGUACAAGCAGUGGGAGCCUCUUAAUGGGGUGACUGCGUACCUUUUGUAUAAUGGGUCAGCGACUUAUAUUCUGUAGCAAGGUUAACCGAAUAGGGGAGCCGAAGGGAAACCGAGUCUUAACUGGGCGUUAAGUUGCAGGGUAUAGACCCGAAACCCGGUGAUCUAGCCAUGGGCAGGUUGAAGGUUGGGUAACACUAACUGGAGGACCGAACCGACUAAUGUUGAAAAAUUAGCGGAUGACUUGUGGCUGGGGGUGAAAGGCCAAUCAAACCGGGAGAUAGCUGGUUCUCCCCGAAAGCUAUUUAGGUAGCGCCUCGUGAAUUCAUCUCCGGGGGUAGAGCACUGUUUCGGCAAGGGGGUCAUCCCGACUUACCAACCCGAUGCAAACUGCGAAUACCGGAGAAUGUUAUCACGGGAGACACACGGCGGGUGCUAACGUCCGUCGUGAAGAGGGAAACAACCCAGACCGCCAGCUAAGGUCCCAAAGUCAUGGUUAAGUGGGAAACGAUGUGGGAAGGCCCAGACAGCCAGGAUGUUGGCUUAGAAGCAGCCAUCAUUUAAAGAAAGCGUAAUAGCUCACUGGUCGAGUCGGCCUGCGCGGAAGAUGUAACGGGGCUAAACCAUGCACCGAAGCUGCGGCAGCGACACUAUGUGUUGUUGGGUAGGGGAGCGUUCUGUAAGCCUGUGAAGGUGGCCUGUGAGGGUUGCUGGAGGUAUCAGAAGUGCGAAUGCUGACAUAAGUAACGAUAAAGCGGGUGAAAAGCCCGCUCGCCGGAAGACCAAGGGUUCCUGUCCAACGUUAAUCGGGGCAGGGUGAGUCGACCCCUAAGGCGAGGCCGAAAGGCGUAGUCGAUGGGAAACAGGUUAAUAUUCCUGUACUUGGUGUUACUGCGAAGGGGGGACGGAGAAGGCUAUGUUGGCCGGGCGACGGUUGUCCCGGUUUAAGCGUGUAGGCUGGUUUUCCAGGCAAAUCCGGAAAACCAAGGCUGAGGCGUGAUGACGAGGCACUACGGUGCUGAAGCGACAAAUGCCCUGCUUCCAGGAAAAGCCUCUAAGCAUCAGGUAACAUCAAAUCGUACCCCAAACCGACACAGGUGGUCAGGUAGAGAAUACCAAGGCGCUUGAGAGAACUCGGGUGAAGGAACUAGGCAAAAUGGUGCCGUAACUUCGGGAGAAGGCACGCUGAUAUGUAGGUGAAGCGACUUGCUCGUGGAGCUGAAAUCAGUCGAAGAUACCAGCUGGCUGCAACUGUUUAUUAAAAACACAGCACUGUGCAAACACGAAAGUGGACGUAUACGGUGUGACGCCUGCCCGGUGCCGGAAGGUUAAUUGAUGGGGUUAGCGGCAACGCGAAGCUCUUGAUCGAAGCCCCGGUAAACGGCGGCCGUAACUAUAACGGUCCUAAGGUAGCGAAAUUCCUUGUCGGGUAAGUUCCGACCUGCACGAAUGGCGUAAUGAUGGCCAGGCUGUCUCCACCCGAGACUCAGUGAAAUUGAACUCGCUGUGAAGAUGCAGUGUACCCGCGGCAAGACGGAAAGACCCCGUGAACCUUUACUAUAGCUUGACACUGAACAUUGAGCCUUGAUGUGUAGGAUAGGUGGGAGGCUUUGAAGUGUGGACGCCAGUCUGCAUGGAGCCGACCUUGAAAUACCACCCUUUAAUGUUUGAUGUUCUAACGUUGGCCCGUAAUCCGGGUUGCGGACAGUGUCUGGUGGGUAGUUUGACUGGGGCGGUCUCCUCCUAAAGAGUAACGGAGGAGCACGAAGGUUGGCUAAUCCUGGUCGGACAUCAGGAGGUUAGUGCAAUGGCAUAAGCCAGCUUGACUGCGAGCGUGACGGCGCGAGCAGGUGCGAAAGCAGGUCAUAGUGAUCCGGUGGUUCUGAAUGGAAGGGCCAUCGCUCAACGGAUAAAAGGUACUCCGGGGAUAACAGGCUGAUACCGCCCAAGAGUUCAUAUCGACGGCGGUGUUUGGCACCUCGAUGUCGGCUCAUCACAUCCUGGGGCUGAAGUAGGUCCCAAGGGUAUGGCUGUUCGCCAUUUAAAGUGGUACGCGAGCUGGGUUUAGAACGUCGUGAGACAGUUCGGUCCCUAUCUGCCGUGGGCGCUGGAGAACUGAGGGGGGCUGCUCCUAGUACGAGAGGACCGGAGUGGACGCAUCACUGGUGUUCGGGUUGUCAUGCCAAUGGCACUGCCCGGUAGCUAAAUGCGGAAGAGAUAAGUGCUGAAAGCAUCUAAGCACGAAACUUGCCCCGAGAUGAGUUCUCCCUGACUCCUUGAGAGUCCUGAAGGAACGUUGAAGACGACGACGUUGAUAGGCCGGGUGUGUAAGCGCAGCGAUGCGUUGAGCUAACCGGUACUAAUGAACCGUGAGGCUUAACCUUACAACGCCGAAG
Molecule: ribosomal RNA, 2604 nt
Filed under: Escherichia coli
Lineage: Bacteria; Pseudomonadati; Pseudomonadota; Gammaproteobacteria; Enterobacterales; Enterobacteriaceae
Description: partial 23S ribosomal RNA
Rfam family: Bacterial large subunit ribosomal RNA
Source: RNAcentral